UGGACCCUCAGCCUCUAUUUAGUCAGUCUCCAAGGACUGACUAGAUUCACAUCAAGACUUUGGAAAUUCCUCUACUCCUUCAAGAGAUGGGCUUGGGAAGUGGACUAAGCAAAGGCUGCAGAAGGCUUACAGACAUGAUCACAUCCUUGUCCAUGUACCUGAAGGCAGACAGGAACAUAAGUUGGCUCCUCUCUAGAUCUCCACCAUCUGCUUGUGAUCCUCCAUGGCUGUCAGUGCCCCUUAAGCCUCUUGUUAUAAAUCACCAUGAUCUCACUUUCCAGGAAACUCCACUGUUUUCACACACAAUUAUUCACAGAUAGCAGAGAGAGGAGGCUCAGGAGGAAGACCCAUGGGAUAAGAGACAUUGUAGGACACUGAGGAAACAUAACUUGAGCUCUUGAACUCAUUGAUGAGGACCAAAAAAAAAAAAAAAUGAAUGAACACCAGCAGAUGCUUUGGAAUACUGUUGAACAAUGGGUACCUGUCCAAUACUGCCAAAUAAUUGGUUUCGGAGAUCCUAUGAUAAACAGCAGUCAUCAUUAGAACUGACUGAAUGUUCUCUGGAAGGAGGAAUGGGAGGCUGGCCAAUCUAACAGGUUUU
RNAcentral lists this long non-coding RNA (601 nucleotides) under Mus caroli (Ryukyu mouse). RNAcentral's name for it is "lncRNA (MGP_CAROLIEiJ_G0006896.1)". The record is from RNAcentral. Lineage: Eukaryota; Metazoa; Chordata; Mammalia; Rodentia; Muridae.